AAAUUUUCACAAAAAAGUAACACGAUAAAAUAUUAGGAUUAGAAUUUUUAGGAUGAAUAAAUAAAUAAAUAAAUAAAUAAAUAAAUAUAUUAAUUAAAAAAAUAUAUUUUGUAAUUAAAAUAUAUGUGUGGGUACCCGUGGGUACCCGCGGGUUACCCAAAAUGCCCAUAGCUUAAUGGGUACCCACCAGUUUUACCCAUAAUUUUUUAGGUUGAAAAAGUUGGUGCCCAUACCCGCAAAUUUGC
Molecule: long non-coding RNA, 245 nt
Filed under: Ananas comosus (pineapple)
Lineage: Eukaryota; Viridiplantae; Streptophyta; Magnoliopsida; Poales; Bromeliaceae
Description: long non-coding RNA (ACOM_LNC021254)
Source: RNAcentral